This 1521-nucleotide ribosomal RNA is filed under the name Staphylococcus aureus. RNAcentral describes it as "partial 16S ribosomal RNA". It matches the Rfam family "Bacterial small subunit ribosomal RNA". The record is from RNAcentral. Lineage: Bacteria; Bacillati; Bacillota; Bacilli; Caryophanales; Staphylococcaceae.
UUAUGGAGAGUUUGAUCCUGGCUCAGGAUGAACGCUGGCGGCGUGCCUAAUACAUGCAAGUCGAGCGAACGGACGAGAAGCUUGCUUCUCUGAUGUUAGCGGCGGACGGGUGAGUAACACGUGGUAACCUACCUAUAAGACUGGGAUAACUUCGGGAAACCGGAGCUAAUACCGGAUAAUAUUUUGAACCGCAUGGUUCAAAAGUGAAAGACGGUCUUGCUGUCACUUAUAGAUGGAUCCGCGCUGCAUUAGCUAGUUGGUAAGGUAACGGCUUCCAAGGCAACGAUGCAUAGCCGACCUGAGAGGGUGAUCGGCCACACUGGAACUGAGACACGGUCCAGACUCCUACGGGAGGCAGCAGUAGGGAAUCUUCCGCAAUGGGCGAAAGCCUGACGGAGCAACGCCGCGUGAGUGAUGAAGGUCUUCGGAUCGUAAAACUCUGUUAUUAGGGAAGAACAAAUGUGUAAGUAACUGUGCACAUCUUGACGGUACCUAAUCAGAAAGCCACGGCUAACUACGUGCCAGCAGCCGCGGUAAUACGUAGGUGGCAAGCGUUAUCCGGAAUUAUUGGGCGUAAAGCGCGCGUAGGCGGUUUUUUAAGUCUGAUGUGAAAGCCCACGGCUCAACCGUGGAGGGUCAUUGGAAACUGGAAAACUUGAGUGCAGAAGAGGAAAGUGGAAUUCCAUGUGUAGCGGUGAAAUGCGCAGAGAUAUGGAGGAACACCAGUGGCGAAGGCGACUUUCUGGUCUGUAACUGACGCUGAUGUGCGAAAGCGUGGGGAUCAAACAGGAUUAGAUACCCUGGUAGUCCACGCCGUAAACGAUGAGUGCUAAGUGUUAGGGGGUUUCCGCCCCUUAGUGCUGCAGCUAACGCAUUAAGCACUCCGCCUGGGGAGUACGACCGCAAGGUUGAAACUCAAAGGAAUUGACGGGGACCCGCACAAGCGGUGGAGCAUGUGGUUUAAUUCGAAGCAACGCGAAGAACCUUACCAAAUCUUGACAUCCUUUGACAACUCUAGAGAUAGAGCCUUCCCCUUCGGGGGACAAAGUGACAGGUGGUGCAUGGUUGUCGUCAGCUCGUGUCGUGAGAUGUUGGGUUAAGUCCCGCAACGAGCGCAACCCUUAAGCUUAGUUGCCAUCAUUAAGUUGGGCACUCUAAGUUGACUGCCGGUGACAAACCGGAGGAAGGUGGGGAUGACGUCAAAUCAUCAUGCCCCUUAUGAUUUGGGCUACACACGUGCUACAAUGGACAAUACAAAGGGCAGCGAAACCGCGAGGUCAAGCAAAUCCCAUAAAGUUGUUCUCAGUUCGGAUUGUAGUCUGCAACUCGACUACAUGAAGCUGGAAUCGCUAGUAAUCGUAGAUCAGCAUGCUACGGUGAAUACGUUCCCGGGUCUUGUACACACCGCCCGUCACACCACGAGAGUUUGUAACACCCGAAGCCGGUGGAGUAACCUUUUAGGAGCUAGCCGUCGAAGUGGGACAAAUGAUUGGGGUGAAGUCGUAACAAGGUAGCGUAUCG